UUUUUUUGGUCACCCAGUGCUUGGGGCAAAUUGUGGGCUUUUCACAUUGGAUGUAUUUCCAAAUAAUACAUAGAUAAAAAGAUUAGCUUCAAGGCAUCAUUACAAAUUCAUAUAUUAAUUUAGAACCGGUUAACUUUCUUCGUAUAUGCUGAACCUUCACUCUGGGAAAUUUAGAACACCUUGGGGAUUAAAGUUUCCUUUCGGAUAAAAAAGCGCAAAGCCACUGCUCCUUCCCCUCAACCCAACUUCCUCCUCUCCCAUCAUUUCUGUCUUUAUCCGCUACUUUCGGUCCUUCAUUCCUUCCCUCCCACUUUUAUUCUUCCUCAAUUUUCACUCCCAUGAUUAAAAUAUCCGUGUGUGUGUGUGUGUGUAAACCCAAGCAAUUACUCUCACAUGGUGAUAUGUACACAACACACACACACACACACAUCCUAGAGCUCACAUUGAUUGGGUGCUUUUUUAAUCCUAGUCACUAUUUUAGGCCAUUUAUACGUGGUUACUCAAUCCUUCUAAAAGCCUCAUGAUGUCUUUACUAUGACUAAGCUACAACAGAGCUGAGGAAAAUGAGACAGAAAAAUGUCAAAUUGCUUCCCAAGGCUGCACAGCUGGUGACAGACAGAGCCAGGACUUGCCCUAGGCGCCCUGGCCCCAAAGCCCAUGCUUUGGGUCAUGAUGCCACACUGCUAGUCAGUAUCUACCAGGUCCGAGGUACACAUAUGACACACCCAUUCCUGCGUUCUGGGAGGGGGGGGGUCCUGUGCUAGAACAGAGAACAUCCCCCCAAAGCAGUCCGACUGUUAGGAACUUUACAAGCUAAAAGGGAGGGCUAGACAGGAAACCAAGGAGCAAAGGGAUACUUAGCACGCUCUUACCUAGUACAGGUCGUGAAGAAUGGGGCAAGGGAGACAGUACAGACGGUAAGUCCUAAGUGGGUAUUAGUUCUAUCAGGGCUCAGGAAGGGCCCACAGAGAAGGAGACGGGGUGACCACGUGAAGGCAGGAAACACCACCCUCACCUUCGCUUCUUUUUUUUUUUAAUUUUUUUCCAUUAUCGGUGAUUUACGGUGUUCUGUCAAUUUUCUACUGUACAGCAAUGGUGACCCCGUGACACAUACAAGGAUACAUCCUCUUUGCUCCCAUUAUCAGGCUCCAUCACAAGUGACUAGAUACAGUUCCCGGUGCUAUGCAGCAGGAUCUCAUGGCUUAUCCAUUCCAAAGGCAACAGUCUGCACCUCUUAACCCCGCGUUCCCAGUCCAUCCCACUCCCUCCCCUUUGGCAACCACAAGUCGGUUCUCCAAGUCCAUAAGUUUCUUUUCUGUGGAAAGGUUCAUUUGUGCCGUAUAUGAGAUUCCAGAUGGAAGUGAUAGCAUAUGGUGUCUGUCUUUCUCUUUCUGACUUGCUUCCCACCGUCAUUUCUUCUGUCCCUUUCUUCCUUCCAGCUCUUGCCUUUCAUUCCUCUUUCCGGCAGCAACUAUUCACCCCAUACCCGGUGCAGGGAGCUGGCAAUACUAGAUGGCGCUGUGGUUUUAAUAAGUGCUGGUUGGUCUGGAUCUGUACCUUCCUAAUACUGCCAAACCAGAAGGGGAGACGAGACCCUCAGAGAAACUCACCCAGUCACUUAGAAAACUGCGGGUCUCGGAGUUCCCGUCAUGGCGCAGUGGUUAACGAAUCCGACUAGGAACCAUGAGGUUGUGGGUUCGGUCCCUGCCCUUGCUCAUGGGUUAAGGAUCCAGCAUUGCCAUGAGCUGCAGUGUAAACUGCAGAUGAGGCUCAGAUCUGGCAUUGCUGGGGCUGUGGUGUAGGCUGGGAGCUGCAGCUCAGAUUCAACCCUUAGCCUGAGAACUUCCAUACGCCACAGGUGUGGCUCUAAAAAGCAAAAAAAAUCUAAUCACUGACCCAUCUAGCCUCCUUCUGCCUCAGCCAGUCUUAUUUGGAGUCCUUCCUAAGAUGAGACAUGGCUCUGGCUUUCUCCAUUUUAUCUUCGGAUUCCUCAUAUAAACUACCUGCAAAUGUAUGUCCCUGGCUGUGUUCCUGGGCUCAGGGGCUCCCAGAACAAAAUCACCCAGGGUUACCUAAUCAGAUCUGCCACAGAUACCAGGGCACCUUGACUGGCAUCUGUGGGGACGGCUGAUGGUUAAACAGCACCCCUGUCCCUUCCAUCAUUUGGAGAUUGUGUUCAGGGCUUUUGUUUUCUCUUCUUUCAAAAACAAUGUCAUCUUGACACUUAGGAAUGCACCUGAGAAAAGGAGGGCUGUCCUGGACUUUGCUGGUGGUAUUAGGUUUCUCUCUCUCCCUCUCUCUCUUUUUUCUUUUUAGGGUCCACUGCAGCCUAUGGCAGUUCGCAGGCCAGGGGUCGAAUCAGAGCUGCCCCUGCUGGCCUACACCACAGCCACAGCAACAGCCAGAUCCAAGCUGCAUCUGUGACCUACACCCUAGCUCACGGCAACACCGGAUCCUUAACCCAUUCAGCGGGGCCAGGGGUUGAACCUGCAUCCUCAUGGAUACUAAGUCAGGUUCUUAACCUGCUGAGCCCCAACAGGAACUCCAAGUUUUAUCUCUUCAUUGUCCUUUUCCUGCUCUGUGAAUCCAGCACUGUGAAAUGACGUGAUCCAAUUAUGAAUCAGCCAUUCAUUCCUGCUCAUGGAAACUCACUUAUUUAGGCUCCAGCAGUGGCGAAGAUACCAGCCCAGGACGACAGUCACGGAGCCUUUCAUUUACCAACUUGUCCUCUCGGAGGAGACAGAAGGCAAAAGCAAAGCCACACGGACAGGACAUGCCACGGAAGGCCGUGUUUCUUAAAGCUUUGUUGACAAAAUGACAUCACUCCCCCCAGAUAGAAACAAAAAAGGGGGAUUUCCUUCCAACACUCUGCCUCUGCCAGGGGGAAGGGGUGUCAGCAUUUAGUAUUGCUAUGACUGGGCUAAAAGCAUUAUUGCAGUUCAUAAGUGAGCUUCUUAAGGGAAAACAUGCCCCCUAAAUUAUUACGCGAAAAUAAUAUUUUUUUCCUUGAUAAAUCAGUUUAAAGGGAGGUCCAUUGUGCAAAAAAGCCUAAUUUUUCUCUAUGAGCUCCCAGAAACAUAAUAUCACCAGUAAGGCCUCUUAAUGAGAGAAAAUCAUCCCCACUCCUGAUAAGUUCUGGAUCAAAGAGGGAUUUGCAAAUACCAGCCUGCACUGUAAUGUUUGACUAAUGGCCUAAUCCAUCAACCGGCAUGUUUGGGUAUUGAGUUCAUUAGCAUUUACCAUUAGCAUUUAUUUAUUCAUUUGUUCAACAAAUAUUUCUACAGCUCCUACUAUGUUCCUCUUUCUCUGUGCUGGGGAUGGAGCAGGAAGGGAAUACACACGGACCCCUCCUUCACAAGGCUGACCAUCCGGCGGGAAAGCCAUAGCAACCAACGCUCACACACAGGCAUGCCUAGGUGAUGAUGGCAGGGUGGGCUUUUCUCUGCCCCCAUCUCUUGAAGGCCCUCUUCUGCAGAGGUUUCUGGGAAAACAAAUCCGGAGCAACCUCAUCAGUAGAGCUACGGUAAAGUCCUGCCUGAUGAAACAGGCUUUGGCAAGAAGAAGGAUAUUUUGUCUUAGAGAUGCUGCUAUUUCCAGGAAUCUAAAACACUAAAGCUACUGCCCAGGCCAAGGUAGAUGUGAGAGCUUGCAGGACGUCCUGGGCUUUUCCGGGGUGGGUGAUGGCCUAGGGGAGGGCAGCAGAGGACCAAAGGCACGUGGAGGAUGGGGGGUGGGAGAGAAGAAGGCGGCUUCUGACAGCCAGUCAAACUCCACGUGGGACAGAGCAACUUAGUGGAAAAAAUGGAGAGAGGGUUUCACCAGCUGGACCCCUGGUUGGAGACUGGCUAAGAGUCUGGUCACUUCCUCUCUCCUUACAGACAGGCCCUGCCCAGCCCUGGGGGCUGUCAGGCUUUGAGGAAGACAAGUGGAGGUCAGCCCUCUUGGCCUUGUCUGUUUCUACCCAAUAUCCUACGUAAUGAACGGAAUUCUAUUCAAGGAGCAGAGUGGCCAUGACUUCUGCCACAAAGACAGCCCCAUCAUAGAGCUGGCUUCCCUCUGUGUGGACCUGGCCUCCAAGCUGUAGUCAGGAAUGGGGCUCAGGCCAAGGCAUUAAAUUUUUUUAAUUAUUAAAAUUUUAUUUUAACGUAUUUUUUAAUUUAAAAAAUACACCAGAAAUUCUGUCAAACUUGACUCUGGCUAAAGGGUUAAAAGCUCACAGCAGCCAUAUAUGAAAAUUGAAAAACUGAUUAAGUCCAACAAGGGUUUAAUCUUCAAAAUAUACAAACAACUCAUACAACUCAUAGCAAAUCCCCCCACACACAAUCCAAUAGAAAAAUGGGCAGAAAACCUAAACAGACAUUUCUCCAAAGAAGACAUACAGAUGGCCAAUGAGCACAUGAAAAAAUGCUCAUCAUCACUGAUUAUUACAGAAAUGCAAAUCAAAACUAGUAUGAGGUACCACCUAGCACCUGUCAGAACGACUAUCUACAAAUAACAAAUGAUGGAGAAGAAAAGGGAACCCUCCUACACUCUUGGUGGGCAUGUAAAUUGGUACAAACACUCUGGAAAACAGUAGGGAGGUUCCUCAGAAAACUCAACAUAGAACUACCAUGUGAUCCAGCAAUCCCACUCCUGGGCAUAUAUCAAGACAAAACGUUCAUUCAAAAGGAUACAUGCACCCCUAUGUUCAGUGCAGCACAAAUUCACAACAGCCAAGACAUGGAAACAACCUCAAUGUCCAUCGACAGAUGAAUGGAUUAAGAAGAUGUGGUGCAUAUACAUAAUGGAAUACAACUCAGCCAUAAAAAAGGACAAAGUAAUGCCAUUUGCAGCAACAUGGAUACAACUAGAGCUUCUCAUACUAAGUGAAGUAAGUCAGAAAGAGAAAGACAAAUAUCAUAUCACAAAGAGAUAACACUUAUGUGCGGAAUCUAAGAUCUGGCACAAAUGAUCCUAUCUACAAAAUAGAAACAGAUCAUGGACAUGGAGAGCAGAUCUGUGGUUGCCAGGGGGGAGGGGACAGAGAGUUUGAGGUUAGUAGAUGUAAACUAUUAUCUUCAGAAUGGAUAAGGAAUAGGGUCCUACUGUACAGCACAGGGAACUAUGUUUAAUCUCUCGGGUUAGAACAUGAUGGAAGGUAGUAUGAAAAAAAGAAUAGGAUAUACAUGUGUGUGCAUGUGUGUGUAUGACUGGGUCACUUUGCUGUCCAGCAGAAAUUACCAGAACACCAUAAAUCAACUACACUUUAAUAAAAAAUAUUUCAAAAAGAAAAGAAUUUUAAUUAUUAAAAUUUUACUUUAAUUAAAUUAGAAUACACUUUUUUUUUUUUUAAAAUUUAAAAAAUGCACCAGAAAGUCUGUCAAAGCUGACACUGGCUGUAGGGUUCAAAAGGCUGUUCUGAUGUGAUCUGGGGGGAUCUUACUUUUUUGUUGGUUUUCUAUUUUUCACUUUUUGGAACAGUGGCCAUAAUAAAUACAUCAUAAAAUGCCCCUUUCUCCUGAAGCUAAAGCACUCCCUUCUUCUCUCCAAUAGUGUCCAAGAGUGUAUUCGUUUUUCUUUUUCUAUCUACCCUGAUCCAGUCCUGGAUGAGAAACAGGAUGGUGCUAUCACCCCUCCCUGAGCAGAUGGGUACCAGUUCAAGAGUUUGUGACAAAACUGUCAACUCAGGGAGCCCCGCCUGGCUCUGCAGACCGUAAAGGCAAGGCAGGCAGGUCUAGGCAGAGACACAGAGCUCCCUCUGAAGGCUGAGCAUCCUGGGAGGAGGGAGAGGAAAAACCUCCCAUUCACGGGACAGGCUCACCCCCCUUAAGUUGACCCACUCGAGACACGACUCAGAGCAACCCGCAGAGCGGGAGGGAGGCUGCUGGAGAGCUCGCCCAUCUUCCAGGUCGCUUCUUGGGCCUUGAUGGGGACAUUAAAUGUGGUAUUCAGCACCACCUCCAGAAAUUCAAAUCUGUGUAUUCAGCCACGGUGGGUGACAUCCAAAUG
RNAcentral lists this long non-coding RNA (5988 nucleotides) under Sus scrofa (pig). RNAcentral describes it as "lncRNA (ENSSSCG00005017977.1)". Lineage: Eukaryota; Metazoa; Chordata; Mammalia; Artiodactyla; Suidae. The record is from RNAcentral.